This 867-nucleotide ribosomal RNA is filed under the name uncultured microorganism. RNAcentral describes it as "bacterial SSU rRNA". It matches the Rfam family "Bacterial small subunit ribosomal RNA", at positions 28 to 902 of the family's 1533-position model. The record is from RNAcentral.
GACGAACGCUGGCGGCGUGCUUAACACAUGCAAGUCGAACGAGAUCCAUUCAGUAGCAAUACUGAUGAAGAUCUAGUGGCGAACGGGUGCGUAACACGUGAGGAACUUGUCCCGGUCUCUGGGAUAACAGUUGGAAACGACUGCUAAUACCGGAUGACGUCGGAACUUCGCAUGGAGUACUGACGAAAGGGUUACUGGAUCGGGAGAGCCUCGCGGCCUAUCAGCUUGUUGGUGGGGUAAUGGCCUACCAAGGCAUCGACGGGUAGCUGGUCUGAGAGGAUGAUCAGCCACACUGGGACUGAGACACGGCCCAGACUCCUACGGGAGGCAGCAGUGGGGAAUCUUGCACAAUGGGCGAAAGCCUGAUGCAGCAACGCCGCGUGCGGGAAGAAGGCCCUCGGGUUGUAAACCGCUUUCAGAAGGAACGAAACUGACGGUACUUUCAGAAGAAGGUGCGGCCAACUACGUGCCAGCAGCCGCGGUGACACGUAGGCACCAAGCGUUGUCCGGAUUUAUUGGGCGUAAAGAGCUCGUAGGCGGUUCAGUAAGUCGGGUGUGAAAACUUUGGGCUUAACCCAAAGCGUGCAUCCGAUACUGCUGUGACUUGAGUACGGUAGGGGAGCGGGGAAUUCCUAGUGUAGCGGUGAAAUGCGCAGAUAUUAGGAGGAACACCGGUGGCGAAGGCGCCGCUCUGGGCCGAAACUGACGCUGAGGAGCGAAAGCAUGGGUAGCAAACAGGAUUAGAUACCCUGGUAGUCCAUGCCGUAAACGUUGGGCACUAGGUGUGGGUUCCAACCAACGGAAUCCGCGCCGUCGCUAACGCAUUAAGUGCCCCGCCUGGGGAGUACGGCCGCAAGGUUAAAACUC